AAGAACAACUNUUAGCAACGGAUAUCUUGGUUCCCGCAACGAUGAAGAACGCAGCGAAAUGCGAUACGUAAUGCGAAUUGCAGAAUUCAGUGAAUCAUCAAAUCUUUGAACGCAAAUUGCACUCUCGGGAUAAACCUGGGAGUACUCUUCUUUCAGUAUCGGUUCUAUCUUAUCUCGGCUGCGUGCUUCACAGUACGGCCAGUCCGGACACUGAGCGUCACGACUUGUUCACUCAUGGUCGUGUUGCUUGAAAGGUAGAAAGCUCUCCAAUGGAAUUCAAUUUCAUUAUUUCCCUUUAUUGGGGAGGACUAGUGACGUGGUUAAGUUCGCUUCAGUGCGACCCUCCCAUCGUCAUCCUGCUGGUCUUCGAAUUCCGCCGGUUUCGAGCUUUAACUUGGCCCCUCUUCAGUCCCGUUCGGUCGGUGGCGAGGGACGGCCUAACAUACCAUUUACGAAAUCAGAUCUGAAAUGAAGUGAGAGGACCCGCUGAACUUAAGCAUAUCAUUAAGCGGAGGAAAAGAAAAUAACAAUGAUUCCCCUAGUAACGGCGAGUGAACCGGGAAGAGCUCAAACUGAAAAUCUGGGAUCCUUGCAGGUCUCCGAAUUGUAGUCUAGAGACGUAACGUCAGUGUGUGACCUGGGUAUAAGUCUUUUGGAACAAGGCAUCAUAGAGGGUGAGAAUCCCGUCUUUGACCCAGAGUUCGCCGCGNNNNNCUUGCGUUCGAAGAGUCGAGCUGGUCGGGACUCCAACUCAAAAUGGGUGGUAAGAUCUAUA
This 775-nucleotide ribosomal RNA is filed under the name Reckertia filosa. RNAcentral's name for it is "eukaryotic LSU rRNA". The stretch from base 460 to 775 matches the Rfam family "Eukaryotic large subunit ribosomal RNA", at positions 1 to 310 of the family's 3401-position model. Lineage: Eukaryota; Cercozoa; Imbricatea; Thaumatomonadida; Thaumatomastigidae. The record is from RNAcentral.